This 111-nucleotide ribosomal RNA is filed under the name Yersinia intermedia. RNAcentral describes it as "partial 16S ribosomal RNA". It matches the Rfam family "Bacterial small subunit ribosomal RNA", at positions 1426 to 1533 of the family's 1533-position model. Lineage: Bacteria; Pseudomonadati; Pseudomonadota; Gammaproteobacteria; Enterobacterales; Yersiniaceae. RNAcentral also lists the same sequence under 2 other names. The record is from RNAcentral.
GUAGGUAGCUUAACCUUCGGGAGGGCGCUUACCACUUUGUGAUUCAUGACUGGGGUGAAGUCGUAACAAGGUAACCGUAGGGGAACCUGCGGUUGGAUCACCUCCUUACCU